Long non-coding RNA from Cuculus canorus (common cuckoo), 758 nucleotides. RefSeq lists it as uncharacterized. The record is from RefSeq and is a predicted model, not a curated record. NCBI's taxonomy places the organism in Eukaryota, Metazoa, Chordata, Aves, Cuculiformes, Cuculidae. The transcript has 3 exons.
UGGAUGAUGAACUUAGAGGUGGUGGAACCCCAUCAGACGUCACUCAGGGGUGGUGGAACCCCAUCGGACGUCGCACAGGGGUGGUGGAACCCCAUCAGACGUCGCUUAGAGGUGGUGGAACCCCAUCAGACGUCGCUCAGAGGUGGUGGAAUGAAGGAAUGAUGAACUUAGAGGUGGUGGAACCCCAUCUGACGUCACUCAGAGGAGGUGGAAUGAAUGAAUGAUGAACUUAAGAGGUGGUGGAACCCCAUCAGACGUCACUCAGAGGUGGUGGAACCCCAUCGGACGUCGCGCAGGGGUGGUGGAACCCCAUCGGACGUCACUCAGAGGUGGUGGAACCCCAUCUGACGUCGCUCAGAGGUGGUGGAACCCCAUAUGAUGUCGCUCAGAGGUGGUGGAACCCCAUCGGACGUCGCUCAGGGGUGGUGGAACCCCAUCGGACGUCGCUCAGAGGUGGUGGAACCCCAUAUGACGUCGCUCAGAGGAGGUGGAAUGAAGGAAUGAUGAACUUAGAGGUGGUGGAACUCCAUCGGACGUCACUCAGAGGAGGUGGAAUGAAUGAAUGAUGAACUUAAGAGGUGGUGGAACCCCAUCGGACGUCGCUCAGAGGUGGUGGAACCCCAUCGGACGUCGCUCAGAGGUGGUGGAACCCCAUAUGACGUCGCUCAGAGGAGGUGGAAUGAAGGAAUGAUGAACUUAGAGGUGGUGGAACUCCAUCGGACGUCGCACAGAGGUGGUGGAAUGAAGGAAUGAUGAAC